AUGAUAAAAAAUGUGCAAAGCCUUAGGAAUGAUGCCGAUGAUGAGGGUCAACCGAGGAUUCCAGAACAAGUCCGUGCGCGCGUUUUGGUCACCAUCCUGAUCGCGCUCCAUCCUCAGGGAAGCGGAGCUGCUCGGAAGCGUCUGUCCCCCACCAUCAUCAUCAUCAUCAUCAUGCUACUGAUCUCCAAAAAUACUGUCCUGCACAAAACCGGGAAGGGAACGAAAGCAGACCGAAUCAUGGAAACGGAAGGUGAGGGAGAAGACUCGCACUUGGCACCUGCGCACGUGGGGAAAGGAACGGAUCUGGAAAGAGGACCGGCGGAGACGAGGAGGAAGGAAGGAGGCACCCAAGCCAAGGUCACCCUCAGUGUUUCCAGCAGGAGAUGGACUACAAGCCAGGAACAACCUAACUCCUUUCAACCAUGUGAAACAGAGCCAGAAAUGCAUGAUGGGAAAGAACACAAGGGGUUUCGCACACUAAUGUCUGCUCCUAGACAUGAAAGUCGUCCGUUCAAAAGCAUGUCCAAGAAGGAUCCAGCUUUGAAGUGCUUUUACUGUAGUCAUCCCCAGUUCCUACCCAUUCACUAGUUUCAACAUAAGACUGAAUUCAUUGAGGGUAGUCAUAUUAUCAGGAGAAAACUCUGUUACUUGAAAAAGCAGUAGUGUACAUCACUUAUGUUUAAUAUAAGGCCCUUUACAUAUUCCGCAUUGAAUUGUCUGGAAAGAGAAGCUACUCUCUCUGUGGAAACAGAUUUGUGAAGUUAGCCUGUGUAAGAAUUUCCUUCUAAGGACAUAUAUAUUUUGCAUAUGCAGUGAUGCGCUGUAUCAAAACGUAUUGCGUGCACAGAAGGUGCAAUAUCUGAACAGAUAAGAAAUCGUUGUUUUAAUGCUUACACCUCGAAACUCCGGUACCAGUAGAUUAAAUCAAGGGAACAAAUAAUGUAUAAUGACACUAACCUCAAGUAAUGAGGUUGACAUUGUUAAAUUAUAAUUUUUUUUUUUAAGUGUUAUUGGUUUUAUAUAAUUGAAUUGGUAAAGCAGGCAAGUUGUAUGUUUUUUACAUGCUAUAUAAAUACGUGUUUUGUUUUGCCUUGUUGAAAUCAGGGGAAAUAGAAGGGAUGGACACAAGGUACAAUGGCUUCCAGACUUAAAAUCCUAUUAUUUUUGGUUUAUUUUUUAUUUUUGAGUUUUGGUGCAUAGAAUCACAGUUACUCAGUUCACUGCAGGUCUUUGUUUUUCUUUUCGUAAAUCAGAAUGCUGUAUCGCUGUAAUUGAAGGCAUCUACCUCAGUAUCCAUAUGUUCAUAUUCUGAGCUUUUAUGACCGGUAAUGUAAAUAAGACGAUCAUGUUGAUGUGGCAGUGGUCUGUCAGUAAAACUGUGGUUAGUUGCAGUCACACAUUGGUAAAAGAUGCUUUGUCAUUUCAGCUGAUGAAACCAAGAAACUAGACUUAUACUUGUUUUCGUGAAGCAGCAAGAGCCUAAUAUGCAACAUGUCUCCAAACGUUCGCUGAGUAUUAUAGAUGAACACACAGUACAGCAGCAGCAUCCAUUUAUAUUCUUCUAAUUGCUCUUUCCAUCCACACGCCUCGGAACAUGCAUAUCGUCUGCAUCAUAUUGCUAAGCAAAUUCUCGGAUUAAAAGUGACAAAUGAAAGCUACACAGAACAGCUUAGAGUAGUUUAUAGCUAUAUUUCACCGUUAUGCACUGAGGUGUACAAAGAAUACUCUUUCCUGCUACUGCUACAUCUCUCAGAUUGGUGAAUUCAUCUUUUUAAUUUGAGACCUAGAUUUCAAAUAUAAGACUUCAGCCAAAUGCUUCCUUUAAAUCCUCCUCUAGACCAGGUGUAUUGUUCUUUGUCCUGCGCGUAGCAGUGGAAGGUAGGGGCGAAAAGGGGAAAGUGCAUUACGAAGACUGUUUCACUGUGAUCUUCUCCCAGGUCAUCGGUCAUCCAGCCUGAUGUCAGCUGCUCAGCGCACGCACUCUGCAACCUCAUCACAUUGGCCCUGAGGCUUGGGGUCAACUCAGAACCCACUUGUUAACUAGUUAUUGGUGCAAAAGCAGUUGGAGGGUCAACAACUGAAAAACGCCUGUGCUUUUUCAGUGGCAUCCGUGAGAAAAUGCAGCCUUUUAUCCAUCUCAAAGCCAGUCUCUGUGCCACUGUGCAUUCAUUUCAACCUUAGUAGAUUGUUGGAGCAUUUUAUAUGUAAUCUUAAAUCAUUGAAACAAAUCCUAUUCCAAGUAGCUGUGGACUUAGUCUCAGUACAUGCUGUAAGCAGGUGACCCAACGCUAUAAAGAACAUGUAGAUGUAAGGUGCCUGGGUAGAUUGCCUAAGGUGCAGUAGUUGUAGCACGUAUCAUGUGCGAUGUUCCCAAACUCCAAGAACUGUGGCCUUUGCAGGCUUGAAAAAAUCUGGGUUUGUUGGGUGGUGGGCUGUGAAGUCUAGCAUAUCAAGGCAAGUUAAUUCAGAGCAAUACGACAAUGGAGGGCAAUUCUAUGGCAAUUAGUUACCACAUAAAAUCAUAUAAUUGUAACUCCAGUAGAAUUAUUCUAGAGUAGCAUAUUUAUUUUUUUAUGUACUAUAAUGCUGGUCUGGAUUAAGUCUCCUUGUGCAAUAUGAAUUCUGCCUCAUUCAAUAAAAAGGUGUUUUCCACAUGUC
Scleropages formosus (Asian bonytongue) is the source of this 2658-nucleotide long non-coding RNA. NCBI's taxonomy places the organism in Eukaryota, Metazoa, Chordata, Actinopteri, Osteoglossiformes, Osteoglossidae. The record is from Ensembl.